AUGAGAGUACUUCUCCUGCAGACUGUGGAAGUGAGAGGACUUCCUCAUAGACCUUGGGUAUGGGAGGAUUGCAUUCAGUCUGGUUCCUGGUUGCUGGCUGAAAAAACCUGGUUGGAGUACAGUGGUACUAUCUCAACUCACUGCAACCUCCUCCUCCUGAGUUCAAAUGAUUCUCCUGCCUCAGCCUCCUGAGUAUCUGGGAUUACAGGCACUGGCCACUGUGCCUGGCUAAUUUUUGUAUUUUUUUUGGUAUUUUUAGUAGAGAUGAGGUUUCACUGUCCCGGCCAGGCUGGUCUCAAACUCCUGAGCUCAAGUGAUCCAGCUUCUUAGGCCUCCCAAAAUCCUGGGAUUACAGGUGUGAGUCACUGCACCUGGGAGGAAGUUUUAUCAUGGUGGAAGUAUCCUUAGUGGAAAGGAUCUCCAAGAGGAAUGAAUGACAAAAAAAUUUAACUCCUUCACUGCCAGACUAAGAGCAUCAUGCCCUGAACAUGGACUUGCAGAAUUCUACAGAAGAGAGGAGACUGGCCUGGGCAAACAGCCCCAGAAGCUGGGGGCCCGAUGGGCUUUCGACCCAGGAUGUGGCUCCAUGCCCUGACUGAUGCCCACAACCACCGUACACCUGCUCUUUUCUGAUUAAGAAACAAAAGACAGCAUACUGUUUGCCCUUGAAUGCUUGAAACACAAAACAGGUGACACCACCUUCCUCCUCAAAAGGAAUUUUUAAACUGUCAGCCCUCUAUCUGCCCAGAGACUUAUUUUGUCUGGCCUUUGCUGUCUUCAGUAGUAGCAGCUGUUUUUCUUUAGCUUUGCUUUCCUGGCUUGUUGCAAGUACCCCCAGCACCUUCCUGGCUCCAGUAGGCAUUAAGUGGGACCAGUGAGAGGGAUGCAGGCCUUCUGGACAGUAACAACUGUUGAAUGAUGGUCUUUGGGUGUGGCUAGUCCAGCAACUCCUUUUAAUCCAGAGACUCAAAGGGCUGGCUUAGGAGGGGGCUAGGUUGUAUUGUCAAUUUAGUGGGGUACCAUGCUCUUCCUUCAUGGUGGUAGAGACAAAAGAAAAGAGAAGGAAUAGGAAAAGAAAAACACACAACACACACAUACACACACACACACACACACACACAGGGGGAGGGAGGGAGAGAGGGGGAGAGAGAGAGAGAGAGAGAGAGAGAGAGAGAGAGAGAGAAAAGCCACUCAUUAGCUCUCCUGAUAAUUCUUCUAAUCAUUAAUGCCAGAAAUCUAUGCAGCAGGUGUAGAUGAUUUUAUCUGUCUGCAAUUGUACUUGUGCUGAAUUUAGCCUUAAGGCACAACAGCCCUAUCUCAUAGGCAGGCUACCUCUGGGUGAAUCUGCUUUAUCUGCUUAUUUAUUUAUUUAGAGAUGGAGUUUUGCUCUUGUUGCCCAGGCUGGAGUGCGAUGGUGCAAUCUCGGCUUACCAUAGCCUCUGCCUCCUGGGUUCAAGCAAUUCUCCUACCUCAGCCUCUGGAGUAGCUGGGAUUGCAGGCAUGUGCCACCAUGCCCAGUUAAUUUUGUAUUUUUAGUAGAGAUGGGGUUUCUUCAUGUUGGUCAAGCUGGUCUCUAACUACUGACCUCAGGUGAUCCGCCGGCCUUGGCAUCCCAAACUGCUGGGAUCACAGGCGUGAGCCACCUGCUUUUAAUUCUUUUAUGUUUGGCUCUUGUUUAUAACUUCUUUUAGAGAAAGAAUAAAGGUUUCUUUAACCAAAAAGAGAAAGAAAACCACUGCUGUAUAUUUAACAUAUAGAGAUUCUAGAGACCUGGAAUUGAACAGUGAGUUCUGCCUGUCAACCUGCUCUCCAGGUGUUCAACAUCC
Molecule: long non-coding RNA, 1826 nt
Filed under: Callithrix jacchus (white-tufted-ear marmoset)
Lineage: Eukaryota; Metazoa; Chordata; Mammalia; Primates; Cebidae
Description: lncRNA (ENSCJAG00000083659.1)
Source: RNAcentral